GGGGAUUUAGCUCAGCGGUAGAGCGCUUGCCUAGGAAGCGCAAGGCCCUGGGUUCAAUCCCCAGCUCCA
This 69-nucleotide transfer RNA is filed under the name Rattus norvegicus (Norway rat). It matches the Rfam family "tRNA". Rfam says of the family: Transfer RNA (tRNA) molecules are approximately 80 nucleotides in length. Their secondary structure includes four short double-helical elements and three loops (D, anti-codon, and T loops). Lineage: Eukaryota; Metazoa; Chordata; Mammalia; Rodentia; Muridae. The record is from Rfam by way of RNAcentral.